CAGUCGCCACGGUAAUACGGAGGAUCCAAGCGUUAUCCGGAAUCAUUGGGUUUAAAGGGUCCGUAGGCGGUCUUGUAAGUCAGUGGUGAAAGCCCAUCGCUCAACGGUGGAACGGCCAUUGAUACUGCAUGACUUGAAUUAUUGGGAAGUAACUAGAAUAUGUAGUGUAGCGGUGAAAUGCUUAGAGAUUACAUGGAAUACCAAUUGCGAAGGCAGGUUACUACCAAUUGAUUGACGCUGAUGGACGAAAGCGUGGGUAGCGAACAGGAUUAGAUACCCGCGUAGUCCCUGUCUCUUAUAC
Molecule: ribosomal RNA, 301 nt
Filed under: uncultured bacterium
Lineage: Bacteria
Description: partial 16S ribosomal RNA
Rfam family: Bacterial small subunit ribosomal RNA
Source: RNAcentral